This 497-nucleotide ribosomal RNA is filed under the name uncultured bacterium. Its description in RNAcentral is "partial 16S ribosomal RNA". It matches the Rfam family "Bacterial small subunit ribosomal RNA", at positions 28 to 507 of the family's 1533-position model. The record is from RNAcentral.
GAUGAACGCUGGCGGCGUGCCUAAUACAUGCAAGUCGAGCGAACAGACGAGGAGCUUGCUCCUCUGACGUUAGCGGCGGACGGGUGAGUAACACGUGGAUACCCUACCUAUCAGACUGGGAUCACUUCGGGAAACCGGCGCUAAUACCGGAUAAUAUCUUGAACCGCAUGGUUCAAUAGUGAAAGACGGCUUUGCUGUCACUUAUAGAUGGAUACGCGCCGCAUUAGCUAGUUGGUAAGGUAACGGCUUACCAAGGCGACGAUGCGUAGCCGACCUGAGAGAGUGGUCGGCCACACUGGAACUGGAACACGGUCCAGACGCCUACGGGAGGCAGCAGUAGGGAAUCGUCCGCAAUGGGCGAAAGCCUGACGGAGCAACGCCGCGUGAGUGAUGAAGGUCUUCGGAUCGUAAAACUCUGUUAUUAGGGAAGAACAAAUGUGUAAGUAACUAUGCACGUCUUGACGGUACCGAAUCAGAAAGCCACGGCUAACUACGUG